Molecule: ribosomal RNA, 1361 nt
Filed under: uncultured bacterium
Lineage: Bacteria
Description: bacterial SSU rRNA
Rfam family: Bacterial small subunit ribosomal RNA
Source: RNAcentral
AUUGAACGCUGGCGGCAGGCCUAACACAUGCAAGUCGAGCGGUAGCACAGAGAGCUUGCUCUCGGGUGACGAGCGGCGGACGGGUGAGUAAUGUCUGGGAAACUGCCUGAUGGAGGGGGAUAACUACUGGAAACGGUAGCUAAUACCGCAUAACGUCGCAAGACCAAAGUGGGGGACCUUCGGGCCUCAUGCCAUCAGAUGUGCCCAGAUGGGAUUAGCUAGUAGGUGGGGUAACGGCUCACCUAGGCGACGAUCCCUAGCUGGUCUGAGAGGAUGACCAGCCACACUGGAACUGAGACACGGUCCAGACUCCUACGGGAGGCAGCAGUGGGGAAUAUUGCACAAUGGGCGCAAGCCUGAUGCAGCCAUGCCGCGUGUGUGAAGAAGGCCUUCGGGUUGUAAAGCACUUUCAGCGGGGAGGAAGGCGUUAAGGUUAAUAACCUUGGCGAUUGACGUUACCCGCAGAAGAAGCACCGGCUAACUCCGUGCUAGCAGCCGCGGUAAUACGGAGGGUGCAAGCGUUAAUCGGAAUUACUGGGCGUAAAGCGCACGCAGGCGGUCUGUCAAGUCGGAUGUGAAAUCCCCGGGCUCAACCUGGGAACUGCAUUCGAAACUGGCAGGCUAGAGUCUUGUAGAGGGGGGUAGAAUUCCAGGUGUAGCGGUGAAAUGCGUAGAGAUCUGGAGGAAUACCGGUGGCGAAGGCGGCCCCCUGGACAAAGACUGACGCUCAGGUGCGAAAGCGUGGGGAGCAAACAGGAUUAGAUACCCUGGUAGUCCACGCCGUAAACGAUGUCGAUUUGGAGGUUGUGCCCUUGAGGCGUGGCUUCCGGAGCUAACGCGUUAAAUCGACCGCCUGGGGAGUACGGCCGCAAGGUUAAAACUCAAAUGAAUUGACGGGGGCCCGCACAAGCGGUGGAGCAUGUGGUUUAAUUCGAUGCAACGCGAAGAACCUUACCUGGUCUUGACAUCCACAGAACUUUCCAGAGAUGGAUUGGUGCCUUCGGGAACUGUGAGACAGGUGCUGCAUGGCUGUCGUCAGCUCGUGUUGUGAAAUGUUGGGUUAAGUCCCGCAACGAGCGCAACCCUUAUCCUUUGUUGCCAGCGGUUAGGCCGGGAACUCAAAGGAGACUGCCAGUGAUAAACUGGAGGAAGGUGGGGAUGACGUCAAGUCAUCAUGGCCCUUACGACCAGGGCUACACACGUGCUACAAUGGCAUAUACAAAGAGAAGCGACCUCGCGAGAGCAAGCGGACCUCAUAAAGUAUGUCGUAGUCCGGAUUGGAGUCUGCAACUCGACUCCAUGAAGUCGGAAUCGCUAGUAAUCGUAGAUCAGAAUGCUACGGUGAAUACGUUCCCGGGCCU